UGGGGAAUCUUGGACAAUGGGCGAAAGCCUGAUCCAGCCAUGCCGCGUGAGUGACGAAGGCCUUCGGGUUGUAAAGCUCUUUUGGCGGGGACGAUAAUGACGGUACCCGCAGAAUAAGCCCCGGCUAACUUCGUGCCAGCAGCCGCGGUAAUACGUAGGGUGCGAGCGUUAAUCGGAAUUACUGGGCGUAAAGGGUGCGCAGGCGGUUAUGUAAGUCAGAUGUGAAAUCCCCGGGCUUAACCUGGGAAUUGCGUUUGAAACUACAUGACUAGAGUGUAACAGAGGGAAGUGGAAUUCCGCGUGUAGCAGUGAAAUGCGUAGAUAUGCGGAGGAACACCGAUGGCGAAGGCAAUCCCCUGGACCUGUACUGACGCUCAUGCACGAAAGCGUGGGGAGCAAACAGGAUUAGAUACCCGAGUAGUCCCUGAGCGGGCUGGCAAGGCGCAU
RNAcentral lists this ribosomal RNA (447 nucleotides) under uncultured bacterium. Its description in RNAcentral is "bacterial SSU rRNA". It matches the Rfam family "Bacterial small subunit ribosomal RNA", at positions 355 to 825 of the family's 1533-position model. The record is from RNAcentral.